UACUCCGCAAGGGGUAUGGGACUGGAGAGCACUUGAACAAAUACACUUUGGUGCUGCCUCUGCAAACAUACGCCGCGAUUUUCCUCUCGCAUUGGCCUCUAGAGCUUUCAGUCUCCUUCGCAGAACGAAUUGCCGCGUGUAGAACAAUGGGCAAAUGUACAGACAUCCCACAAUGCAUUGUGCGACUUCAGCUCUCCUGCUACUAAGUCUAUUGGCUGCGAGCGAGUUAGCUGCCGCCCGACGUUCGUACAGACACAGCAGCUUCCACCGGUCAGAGUGCAAACCGAGACGCGGAAACAUCCAAGUGGAGCAUAAACUCGGCUGCGUCUUCACGUUACCGAGCCAGGGCUGCCACGGGGAGUGCUUGUCGUCAGUCAAACCCUUCGCGCACAAGUCAGGGUUCGCCACGAGCUGCUCGUGUUGUGCACCUAUACAGUACAAGAUACAGAAAGUGGUAGGGCGGUGCAAAGGAAGGCCUGUCACCGUCUACCACCCGAUAGCACUGAGGUGCGCGUGCAGACCUUGUUGACGACAAAGAUUGAGCAGGGACUCAGAUAUUCUAAUUCGUUGCCAUGGAGACAGAUAAUAUCGAACGCACCUGGACUCUACGGAGGCAGUAACGUGUAAUGAGGGCUUGAUUGACACUUGUUGCUUUUCAAUGUUAACAUUCAUGUUUAAUUGUACAUAUUGUAUAGCAUAGAUUAAUUUAUUCAUACAGGGCCAGCACCAACAAAAAAAAAUACUUUCAAAUAAUUCUAAGAACCCCCGAAUGGUUACCAAAGUAAGUGGAAGUGAUCUCCAAAGUAGUACCCGGAAGUGCUUUUGUUGAGUUAAACCACAGAGGUAUCGGUCAAAUAGGCCAAUGCUAACACGCCUUUACACCCCAACAUAAUUUUAUAAGAGUACACCUUUCCCCGGGCACCCUCGCGUACAAUACACCACUAAACUAUGAAAUAAAUUGUCCCACUGA
Nematostella vectensis (starlet sea anemone) is the source of this 970-nucleotide long non-coding RNA. RefSeq lists it as uncharacterized. Lineage: Eukaryota; Metazoa; Cnidaria; Anthozoa; Actiniaria; Edwardsiidae. The record is from RefSeq and is a predicted model, not a curated record. The transcript is spliced from 2 exons.